CAAAGGAUAAGCUAAGUUUAAGCUAUUGGGCUCAUAACCCAACAAUAGGGCUAACCUUCCUUUGA
RNAcentral lists this transfer RNA (65 nucleotides) under Placida sp. 1 NY-2013. Its description in RNAcentral is "tRNA-Met". The record is from RNAcentral. Lineage: Eukaryota; Metazoa; Mollusca; Gastropoda; Limapontiidae.